UCAUAUCUUAACCUCUUUCAAUUUACCAGAUUCAACUCAACAGCCAAGGACUAUGACCACAUGUUUCCUGUGGCAGGGUCAUAUCACCGACUAUUCUUCUUGCGGUACCAAUGUAUUAGCCCCCAUUGGCAGGGUCCUCAACAUAGCUCGACUGCAAGUAUGAAUCUAUCUCAAGUCAUUAUCUUUUCUUACAUUAUGUUCAGUGUUUCAAGCCGAAAAAUACAAUGUCAGAGAAAUUAAAUACAAUUCAACCAGAAGCAAAUACGUCCAAUCAGAGUCAUACAAUAUUCUAAAAAUAUACAUAAUUCAAACCAGAAGCAAACACGUCCAAUCAGAGUCAUACAAUAUUCUAAAAAUAUACAUAUAAUCCAUGCAUCAAAUUCGUAAUCACAAAUAAUUCGAUUCGUAAAACAGAUAUUUACUUUGCCGAUAAAUCUAGUAAAGAGGUUACAUCACUUACCUUGCAAACGCGAUCCACAACAAAUCCAAUUAAUUCCGCAAAUCCCUCGCAGCACCUAAUAUUCAAAAACC
RNAcentral lists this long non-coding RNA (531 nucleotides) under Phoenix dactylifera (date palm). RNAcentral's name for it is "long non-coding RNA (PDAC_LNC008921)". The record is from RNAcentral. Lineage: Eukaryota; Viridiplantae; Streptophyta; Magnoliopsida; Arecales; Arecaceae.